This 1325-nucleotide long non-coding RNA is filed under the name Setaria italica (foxtail millet). RNAcentral describes it as "long non-coding RNA (SITA_LNC005097)". The record is from RNAcentral. Lineage: Eukaryota; Viridiplantae; Streptophyta; Magnoliopsida; Poales; Poaceae.
AUCCUUACCGGCUUUGCUUUCGGCGUCAGGCCAUGGUUCCUUGGAGUGGCAUUUGUUCGGUUCUGGUCAGUUUCCCUGACCGUAUGCGCCGCAUUCAUUUCUUACUCUUCAGUUGUUCGCAUCGACCUCUCAGAUAAGGCCAUCACCAUGAAGGCUUGUUUAGAUGUUCUGUUCCUAUUGGGGACGAUUCUCCUCAUUGUAUAUGGUAUUUGGCACAUCAGGGAAGAUGGUUAUGGAGGAACCGACAACGAUUUAUGUGAGCCACUGAACCUCGAGACCAAUGGUGAUGGUGACACGGCUCAUUCUGCCAGUCAGGUGGCCCCUUUUGCAAAAGCCGGGUUUUGGACCACUAUUGCAAAAGCCGGGUUUUGCAAAAGACUUGUCACUUUUAGACCACGCAGAUCGGGCACACAACCAGUACUUGAUGUUCUUCGAGAAGAUGAACAGCAACAAGCAGCUGCAGGGAAAUGGCACGCCAUCGGUCUUUUGGACAAUCCUUUCCUGUCACAAAAGUGGGAUCAUGGUCUCAGGUUUAUUUACGUUAGUAAAGGUGCUCACACUAUCUUCAGGCCCAUUGCUUCUCGAAGGCAUUCGUCAAUGUUUCCUAGGGGAAAGGGACCUUUACAUAUGAAGCCUAUGUCCUGGCUGCAGCACUGUUCUUUUGCAAAUGUUGUGAAUCUUUGUCUCAGAGGCAGUGGUAUUUCCGAACUCGGAGGUUGGGACUGCAGGUAAGGUCAUUCCUGUCAGCUGCUAUCUAUAAGAAGCAACAGAAAUUAUCCAACACAGCAAAAAUGGAGCAUUCUUCUGCAGAGAUCAUGAGCUGUCACUGUCGACGCCUACAGGAUCGGGGAAUUCCCAUACCGGUUCCAUCAAACAUGGACGGCAAGUCUUCAACUUUGCAUUGCUCUGUCGAUUCUGUAUAAUGCAGUUGGUCUUGCCAUGACUGCAUCACUGGUUGUCAUCGUAAUCACUGUGCUUUGCAAUGCUCCAGUAGCCAAACUGCAACACAAAUUUCAGAGUGAACUCAGGAAAGCGCAAGAUGUGAGACUGAAGGCCAUGUCCGAGUCCUUAACUCAUAUGAAAGUCUUGAAACUUUAUGCAUGGGAGAAGCAUUUCAAGAUGGUCAUCGAGGGGUUAAGGGAGGUUGAAUAUAAGUGGUUGUCAGCAUUCCAGCUUAGUAAAGCAUACAGCAGAGUGCUGUUCUGGGCAUCACCGGUUUUUGUUUCGGCUGCAACCUUCCUCACAUGCUACCUUUUGAAGAUUCCUCUAGAUGCUAGCAAUGUCUUCACCCUUGUUGCAACUCUGAGCCUUGUGCAAGAUCCAAU